CGGAGGGUGCAAGCGUUAUCCGGAUUUACUGGGUUUAAAGGGUGCGUAGGUGGGCAGGUAAGUCAGUGGUGAAAUCUCCGAGCUUAACUCGGAAACUGCCAUUGAUACUAUCUGUCUUGAAUAUCCUGGAGGUAAGCGGAAUAUGUCAUGUAGCGGUGAAAUGCUUAGAUAUGACAUAGAACACCAAUUGCGAAGGCAGCUUACUACGGGAUCAUUGACACUGAGGCACGAAAGCGUGGGGAUCAAAACAGGAUUAGAUACCCUGGUAGUCCACGCCCUAAACGAUGGAUACUCGACAUACGCGAUACACUGUGUGUGUCUGAGCGAAAGCAUUAAGUAUCCCACCUGGGAAGUACGAUCGCAAGAUUG
RNAcentral lists this ribosomal RNA (369 nucleotides) under uncultured organism. RNAcentral's name for it is "bacterial SSU rRNA". It matches the Rfam family "Bacterial small subunit ribosomal RNA", at positions 526 to 896 of the family's 1533-position model. The record is from RNAcentral.